RNAcentral lists this unclassified non-coding RNA (208 nucleotides) under Hevea brasiliensis (rubber tree). The record is from RNAcentral. Lineage: Eukaryota; Viridiplantae; Streptophyta; Magnoliopsida; Malpighiales; Euphorbiaceae.
CUCCAAGGCCAAGCAUCAUGAAGUCUGCAGUAUUUCCUCCAGGAACUGUACCACCCAACAGAUUUCUGGGGAAGACUAUUUUCACUGGCAACUCAAGCUUCUUUGUAAUCAAUUGCAACCCAGGAAGACUCAAACUAUUGGCCACUGUAUGAACAGGAUUUGAUGCUUGUUGUGUUGCCACUGAUACCAUGACAUUGGCACCAAAAAA